RNAcentral lists this transfer RNA (66 nucleotides) under Urocitellus parryii (Arctic ground squirrel). RNAcentral describes it as "Spermophilus parryii (Arctic ground squirrel) tRNA". It matches the Rfam family "tRNA", at positions 5 to 66 of the family's 71-position model. Rfam says of the family: Transfer RNA (tRNA) molecules are approximately 80 nucleotides in length. Their secondary structure includes four short double-helical elements and three loops (D, anti-codon, and T loops). Further hydrogen bonds mediate the characteristic L-shaped molecular structure. tRNAs have two regions of fundamental functional importance: the anti-codon, which is responsible for specific mRNA codon recognition, and the 3' end, to which the tRNAs corresponding amino acid is attached (by aminoacyl-tRNA synthetases). tRNAs cope with the degeneracy of the genetic code in two manners: having more than one tRNA (with a specific anti-codon) for a particular amino acid; and 'wobble' base-pairing, i.e. permitting non-standard base-pairing at the 3rd anti-codon position. Lineage: Eukaryota; Metazoa; Chordata; Mammalia; Rodentia; Sciuridae. RNAcentral also lists the same sequence under 1 other name. The record is from Rfam by way of RNAcentral.
AUGUAGCUCAGUGGUGGAGCACUUGCCUAGCAUGUGCAAGAGGGCCUUGGGUUUGACUCCCAGUAU